UACGGAGGGUGCGAGCGUUAAUCGGAAUUACUGGGCGUAAAGCGUGCGCAGGCGGCUCCUUAAGUCAGAUGUGAAAGCCCCGGGCUUAACCUGGGAACUGCGUUUGAAACUGGGGAGCUAGAGUGUAGAAGAGGGGGGUGGAAUUCCAGGUGUAGCAGUGAAAUGCGUAGAGAUCUGGAGGAACACCGAUGGCGAAGGCAGCCCCCUGGGCUAACACUGACGCUCAUGCACGAAAGCGUGGGGAGCAAACAGG
RNAcentral lists this ribosomal RNA (253 nucleotides) under uncultured bacterium. RNAcentral's name for it is "partial 16S ribosomal RNA". It matches the Rfam family "Bacterial small subunit ribosomal RNA", at positions 524 to 776 of the family's 1533-position model. The record is from RNAcentral.